UCUUAAAACCUUUUCCCCUGAGCAUUGCUUGGAAUGGUGUUGCAACGCUGUCAUCAACAGCAGAUUAAAUGCCAAUUUAGGAUGCACACUUUGACUCAAAACAUUAGUGUAGGCUGCCAUUGCCUCAAGGUGGUGGUGACUCAAGCUGUUCUGCUCUGCCCUUUUGUUUGCUAUUUUCCUUUUUUGUAGUGUGGUACUGUUUGUUCAUAAGAUUAGAAGUUUUAGUCCUUAUCCUGAAGGUUGAAGAUAAUGUUGUAACUUGACUUGGCAGUUUUAUAACUAGUAGCUAUCCUAGUUUUAGGUAGCCAAAAUUGGUGCCCUGUAAUGGGCUUUAUAAAAACAUCAUUUCCUUUGUUAAAUUUUUAAAAAAAGAUAGAACUUUUUCUAGUCAUCAAUUCUUGGGCAUUUUCCUAGCUCAUCGAAAGGAUUUUCUUGAAAAAGUCUAGCACCUUUUUAGCAUUUAAUAAGGAAAUAUUAAAAUCAAUUGGUAAUGAAAAUUCUGACACAUUGGAGAUAAGUAAUAUGUUUGGCCAUUUAGUUUACUGUGAUAAUGGCUAAAGGCCAGUGAAGGAUUUUUGAUCAUAUCUAGUGAUGAGAAAAUUUAAUAUAUAAUGUGAUGUUUUAAAGAGUAAAGAUUUCUUAAGGUUUAGAAUUUGGUGCUUUACUAAAAGUAGAUAAUCAGGCUGGGCGCUGUGGUUCACACCUGUAAUCCCAGCACUUUGGGAGGCGGAGGCAGGCAGAUUGCUUGAGCCUAGGAGUUCAAGAGCAGACUGGGUAACACGGAGAAACCCCGUCUCUACUAACUACUAAAAAUACAAAAAUUAGCUGGGCAUGGUGGCGGGCACCUAUAGUCCCAGCUAUUUGAGGAACUGAGGCAGGAGGAUCACCUGAGCUUUGGGAGGUCGAGGCUGCAGUGAGCCAUGAUUGUGUCACUGCACUCUGGCCUGGGUGAUAGAGCGAGACCCUGCCCCCAGCCCCGCCAAAAAAAAAAAAAUCAUAGAAUUAAUGAUGAUGAGAUAUAUUUACUGUGUUAGGCAGAUACCAGCUACUUUAGUAUACAGGAAAAAGAAAGCUCAUGCGUUUCAUUGGUAAUAUGCAGUUACAGGUUUUUAAAAAUCCUUUCACUCCAAGACUUAUGGAUACUUAUAUACAGGUUUCUUUCUGCAGGGCACCUGUGCUGGUUGCACUUGCUUUGAUUGAAUGUGGAAUGAAGUACGAAGAUGCAGUUCAGUUUAUAAGACAAAAAAGAAGGGGAGCGUUCAAUUCCAAACAGCUGCUUUACUUGGAGAAAUACCGACCUAAGAUGCGAUUACGCUUCAGAGAUACCAAUGGGCAUUGCUGUGUUCAGUAGAAGGAAAUGUAAACAAAGGCUGACUUGAUUGUGGCAUUUAGAGGGAACUCUUGGUACCUGGAAAUGUGAAUCUGGAAUAUUACCUGUGUCAUCAAAGUAGUGAUGGAUUCAGUACUCCUCAACCACUCUCCUAAUGAUUGGAACAAAAGCAAACAAAAAAGAAAUCUCUCUAUAAAAUGAAUAAAAUGUUUAAGAAAAG
This 1550-nucleotide small RNA is filed under the name Pongo abelii (Sumatran orangutan). RNAcentral describes it as "retained intron". Lineage: Eukaryota; Metazoa; Chordata; Mammalia; Primates; Hominidae. The record is from RNAcentral.